RNAcentral lists this long non-coding RNA (392 nucleotides) under Oncorhynchus kisutch (coho salmon). Its description in RNAcentral is "lncRNA (ENSOKIG00005002691.1)". The record is from RNAcentral. Lineage: Eukaryota; Metazoa; Chordata; Actinopteri; Salmoniformes; Salmonidae.
GAAGCAGGAAACUCAGUGGCAUUUCCGACUGAUUCAGUAUGCACACGGCGAAAAGCCCCGCGGCCAGUCAGCGAUAAGGGGAGAGGGGAAAUGACUUGCAGGAGUCGCAGAUGACUGUGUGAUGAGAUCAUUAAGUGCAUUCGCGAUGAGAAAGUCAUUUGAGAAAGUCAGUUGCUAGAGAAAGUCUUUUUCAGCCUUUGGUGAUGUUUUUUUGUUGUUGUCGCGUUCCGGUUUUUGUAGCAUGUAACUGCGGAGUGUCGCGCCAUGGAAAGGUGUCUGCAACCCCGGGCUCCCUCCUGCACGACUCUUGGCGUUUGCAACAGCAAGGGGCGGAGGAAGAAAACUCGAGUCCGGAGACAGACAACCACAAGAAGCUGAAAUCGCCAUGGUGA